CAAGAAAAGCCGCUAUUGUUUAUACCGUACCCGUACCGUAAACCGACACAGGUGGAUGAGGAGAGAAUCCUAAGGCCGGCGGAAGAAGCAUUGUCAAGGAACUCGGCAAAAUGACCCCGUAACUUCGGGAGAAGGGGUGCCACUGAGAAGUGGCCGCAGAGAAUAGGCUCAAGCAACUGUUUAGCAAACACACAGGUCUAUGCGAAACCGAAAGGUGAGGUAUAUGGGCUGACGCCUGCCCGGUGCUGGAAGGUUAAGAGGAGAGGUUAGCGCAAGCGAAGCUUUGAAUUUAAGCCCCAGUAAACGGCGGCCGUAACAAUAGCGAUCCUAAGGUAGCGAAAUUCCUUGUCGGGUAAGUUCCGACCCGCACGAAAGGCGUAAUGAUUUGAGCGCUGUCUCGACAAUGCAUCCGGUGAAAUUGAAGUACCAGUGAAGAUGCUGGUUACCUGCGCCAGGACGGAAAGACCCCAUGGAGCUUUACUCCAGUUUGGUACUGGGGUCCGGUAUUGCAUGUACAGGAUAGGUGGGAGGCUAGGAAGCAGUAACGCCAGUUGCUGCGGAGCCGCUGUUGGGAUACCACCCUUGCAGUACUGGGCUUCUAACCAGCCGCCGUGAACCGGCGGUGGGACAAUGCCAGACGGGGAGUUUGACUGGGGCGGUCGCCUCCGAAAGGGUAUCGGAGGCGCCCAAAGGUUCCCUCAGAAUGGACGGAAACCAUUCGAAGAGUGCAAAGGCAGAAGGGAGCUUGACUGCGACACCGACGGGUGGAGCAGGUACGAAAGUAGGGCUUAGUGAUCCGGUGGUAUUAAGUGGGAAUGCCAUCGCUCAACGGAUAAAAGCUACCCUGGGAUAACAUGCUUAUCACUCCCAAGAGUUCACAUCGACGGAGUGGUUUGGCACCUUGAUGUCGGCUCAUCGCAUCCUGGGGCUGUAGUAGGUCCCAAGGGUUGGGCUGUUCGCCCAUUAAAGCGGUACGCGAGCUGGGUUCAGAACGUCGUGAGACAGUUCGGUCCCUAUCCGGCGUGGGCGUAGGAUAUCUGAGAGGAGCUGUCCUUAGUACGAGAGGACCGGGAUGGACGGACCGCUGGUGUACCGGUUAGACUGCCAAGUCUACGGCCGGGUAGCCAAGUCCGGAAGGGAUAAACGCUGAAGGCAUCUAAGCGUGAAGCCCCCCUCAAGAUGAGAUGUCCCAUUCGAAAGAAGUAAACCCCCUUGAAGACGACGAGGUAGAUAGGGCAGAGGUGGAAGUGUGGCAACACACGGAGCUGACUGUUACUAAUAGGGUGAGGGCUUG
Molecule: ribosomal RNA, 1294 nt
Filed under: metagenome
Description: bacterial LSU rRNA
Rfam family: Bacterial large subunit ribosomal RNA
Source: RNAcentral